UACGGGGGGGGUAAGCGUUGUUCGGAAUUACUGGGCGUAAAGGGCUCGUAGGCGGCCAACUAAGUCAGACGUGAAAUCCCUCAGCUUAACUGGGGAACUGCGUCUGAUACUGGAUGGCUUGGAUUCGGGAGAGGAAUGCGGAAUUCCAGGUGUAGCGGUGAAAUGCGUAGAUAUCUGGAGGAACACCGGUGGCGAAGGCGGCAUUCUGGACCAACACUGACACUGAAAAGCGAAAGCCAGGGGAGCAAACGGG
RNAcentral lists this ribosomal RNA (253 nucleotides) under uncultured bacterium. Its description in RNAcentral is "partial 16S ribosomal RNA". It matches the Rfam family "Bacterial small subunit ribosomal RNA", at positions 524 to 776 of the family's 1533-position model. The record is from RNAcentral.